UACGGGGGGAGCAAGCGUUGUUCGGAUUUACUGGGCGUAAAGGGCGCGUAGGCGGCGCAACAAGUCACUUGUGAAAUCUCCGGGCUUAACCCGGAGCGGCCAAGUGAUACUGUCGUGCUAGAGUGCGGAAGGGGCUACUGGAAUUCUCGGUGUAGCGGUGAAAUGCGUAGAUAUCGAGAGGAACACCUGCGGCGAAGGCGGGUUGCUGGGCUGACACUGACGCUGAGGCGCGAAAGCUAGGGGAGCAAACAGG
RNAcentral lists this ribosomal RNA (253 nucleotides) under uncultured bacterium. RNAcentral describes it as "partial 16S ribosomal RNA". It matches the Rfam family "Bacterial small subunit ribosomal RNA", at positions 524 to 776 of the family's 1533-position model. The record is from RNAcentral.